AGAUGCGAGGCGGCGGUCAGCAGGUGCCGAACCCACGGCCAGGCUUCCGUGGCAAGCAGCCCUAGAGGAAUGGCCGUCCUGUCCCUGCGAGCCCCUGGGCCCUGGCAGGCGAUCCAGGUGGGAUGCUAUGGAAUAUGAUGAGAAGCUGGCCCGGUUCCGGCAGGCCCACCUCAACCCCUUCAACAAGCAGUCUGGGCCGAGACAGCAUGAGCAGGGCCCUGGGGAGGAGGUCCCGGACGUCACUCCUGAAGAGGCCCUGCCUGAGCUGCCCCCUGGGGAGCCGGAAUUCCGCUGCCCUGAACGCGUGAUGGAUCUCGGCCUGUCUGAGGACCACUUCUCCCGCCCUGUGGGUCUGUUCCUGGCCUCUGACGUCCAGCAGCUGCGGCAGGCGAUCGAGGAGUGCAAGCAGGUGAUUCUGGAGCUGCCCGAGCAAUCGGAGAAGCAGAAGGAUGCCGUGGUGCGACUCAUCCACCUCCGGCUGAAGCUCCAGGAGCUGAAGCCUCAGGCAGGCCUUCCCUGUGCGGUGGCAGAGACGGUCC
This 539-nucleotide small RNA is filed under the name Pan troglodytes (chimpanzee). RNAcentral describes it as "processed transcript". The record is from RNAcentral. Lineage: Eukaryota; Metazoa; Chordata; Mammalia; Primates; Hominidae.